RNAcentral lists this ribosomal RNA (441 nucleotides) under uncultured bacterium. RNAcentral's name for it is "partial 16S ribosomal RNA". It matches the Rfam family "Bacterial small subunit ribosomal RNA", at positions 338 to 795 of the family's 1533-position model. The record is from RNAcentral.
CCUACGGGUGGCAGCAGUGGGGAAUAUUGCACAAUGGGGGAAACCCUGAUGCAGCGACGCCGCGUGAGUGAAGAAGUAUUUCGGUUUGUAAACCUCUAUCAGCAGGGAAGAAGCAAGACGGUAUCUGACUAAGAAGCCCCGGCUAACUACGUGUCAGCAGCCGCGGUAUUACGUGGGGGGCAAGCGUUAUCCGGAUUUACUGGGUGUAAAGGGAGCGUAGACGGCUGGGCAAGUCUGAAGUGAAAGCCCAGGGCUCAACCCGGGGACUGCUUUUGAAAAUGUGGAGCUAGAGUGCUGGAGAGGUAGGUGGAAUUCCUAGUGUAGCGGUGAAAUGCGUAGAUAUUAGGAGGAACACCAGGGGCGAAGGCGGCUUGCUGGACAGUAACUGACGUUGAGGCGCGAAAGCGUGGGGAGCAAACAGGAUUAGAUACCCGGGUAGUC